This 253-nucleotide ribosomal RNA is filed under the name uncultured bacterium. Its description in RNAcentral is "partial 16S ribosomal RNA". It matches the Rfam family "Bacterial small subunit ribosomal RNA", at positions 524 to 776 of the family's 1533-position model. The record is from RNAcentral.
UACAGAGGUCUCAAGCGUUGUUCGGAUUCAUUGGGCGUAAAGGGUGCGUAGGCGGCGCGGUAAGUCGGGUGUGAAAUUUCGGAGCUUAACUCCGAAACUGCAUUCGAUACUGCCGUGCUCGAGGACUGGAGAGGAGACUGGAAUUUACGGUGUAGCAGUGAAAUGCGUAGAUAUCGUAAGGAAGACCAGUGGCGAAGGCGGGUCUCUGGACAGUUCCUGACGCUGAGGCACGAAGGCCAGGGGAGCAAACGGG